ACUGACCCUAGAGGCACUGCAGGUAUGGGUAGGGUGGUACACGUGUCCAUUGAUGAUAGAGAGGAGAGAUGCUAUGUAUACUCUCCGUGUACUCUGAACUAUGAACAUCUGGAUGAUUAGUAGCCCAACAUU
This is a small nucleolar RNA of Grammomys surdaster, 132 nucleotides long. RefSeq annotates it as small nucleolar RNA SNORA17. Lineage: Eukaryota; Metazoa; Chordata; Mammalia; Rodentia; Muridae. The record is from RefSeq and is a predicted model, not a curated record. The transcript has a single exon.